This is a long non-coding RNA of Manis pentadactyla (Chinese pangolin), 1043 nucleotides long. RefSeq lists it as uncharacterized. The record is from RefSeq and is a predicted model, not a curated record. The transcript has 3 exons. NCBI's taxonomy places the organism in Eukaryota, Metazoa, Chordata, Mammalia, Pholidota, Manidae.
UUCACCCAUUUGGAGCUUGGUCUCUCUCCCCUCCAGUCAGCAAGAAGUACACCCACCACCCCUGGACCCUGCCAAUUGACCAAAGCCACAACUCAUCCCCCCCAACUACCCCCAGACCCAGCCAAUCAGCCAGGGCCACGACCAUCACCCCCCCAAACCGCCCUGGAAACCCAUAAAACCUUUGUUCUGGGGAAAACGCGCUCUCUUUCUCUGGCACCUGGCCACUGUGUUGGCACGGGUGUGAGAUUGAGCUCGGGCUAGCUUGAAUAAAGGCUCUUUGCUUUUGCAUCCAUGUUGGCUCCUUGGUGGUCUCCUUGGGAUUCACGACUUUGGGCACAACAUUUGGGGGCUCGUCUGGGAUCCCAGAGACCCCCAGGACGCCCGACCCGGAAAGCCCUGUGCCGGCUGGUUCCUACUCCUCCACCUUGACGGGACCUCUUUCCUCAUUUCGUGAUGCUCAUCUCCACUUCCACUCAUCACUGAAGAAGUUUCUGCCAGCAUGGAGUUCUAAUGAUGCCAGGGUUCUUGUUUGCUGAGCCAAAGAACGAGCUUCACAAACAGUCAAGCUUAUAUUACAGGAUUACCAACCCCUCUCCAAAGACGAUGAUCCUUAUUGAACCUGGAAGAUGUCAUUGCCACUUCAGACCAAGGGCUCAUCUGAGGACCGCCCCAAAUCAAUACAAAAAUGAACUUCAACACCCCUAAUCAGCAGGAAGCAGUUACUGAAGACUGACCUUCACCCCUUCCCAAAUCCUCUACCACUUAUAAAACAGAAAAGGGAGGACUAUAACAAUAUAGUAAUUUAUCCUCCAUUUACCCCAAGGUCCCAAGCACAUAAGCCAGUGAGAAUUAUGCCUGGACUUGCCUGGGGCUUACCUGUGGACUUGCCCCACCUUAUCUCUAAACAUACCUACCCUCCCCCAAGGCAAAAGCCAAGCGGAUCCUCCACAAUAAAAGGCACAACUCUCUGUACCAUGCUGCUGCUCCCUCUUUCUCUGGAGGCAGCCACUUUCUCUUUCAGAUAAUAAAAUCUCUUGCAUGGG